RNAcentral lists this ribosomal RNA (710 nucleotides) under Rhizobium sp. UFLA02-68. RNAcentral describes it as "partial 16S ribosomal RNA". It matches the Rfam family "Bacterial small subunit ribosomal RNA", at positions 48 to 808 of the family's 1533-position model. Lineage: Bacteria; Pseudomonadati; Pseudomonadota; Alphaproteobacteria; Hyphomicrobiales; Rhizobiaceae. The record is from RNAcentral.
UUAACACAUGCAAGUCGAGCGCCCCGCAAGGGGAGCGGGCAGACGGGUGAGUAACGCCGUGGGACCCGUACCCUUUACUACGGAAUAACGCAGGGAAACUUGUGCUUAAUACCGUAUGUGCCCUUUGGGGGAAAGAUUUAUCGGUAAAGGAUCNGGCCCCGCGUUGGAUUAGCUAGUUGGUGGGGUAAAGGCCUACCAAGGCGACGAUCCAUAGCUGGUCUGAGAGGAUGAUCAGCCACAUUGGGACUGAGACACGGCCCAAACUCCUACGGGAGGCAGCAGUGGGGAAUAUUGGACANUGGGCGCAAGCCUGAUCCAGCCAUGCCGNGUGAGUGAUGAAGGCCCUAGGGUUGUAAAGCUCUUUCACCGGANAAGAUANUGACGGUNUCCGGANAAAAAACCCCGGNUANCUUUGUGCCAGCAGCCGNGGUANUACAAANGGGGCUUAGCGUUGUCGGNANUUACUGGGCGUAAAGCCCACGUAGGCGGAUCGAUCAGUCAGGGGUNAAAUCCCNAGGCUNACCCUGNAACUGCCUUGAUACUGNCGAUCUGGAGUUUGNAANAGNGAGGGNAUUCCCGAGUGUAGAGGGNAAUUCGUAAUUUNCGGAGAACACCAAGGGNGGANGGGGCUCANUGGCCAUUACUGACCCUGAGGGGCAAAAGCGNGGGGACAAACAGGAUUAAAUCCCCUGGUAGNCCACNCGUNAACA